RNAcentral lists this ribosomal RNA (484 nucleotides) under uncultured bacterium. RNAcentral describes it as "partial 16S ribosomal RNA". It matches the Rfam family "Bacterial small subunit ribosomal RNA", at positions 30 to 507 of the family's 1533-position model. The record is from RNAcentral.
AUUGAACGCUGGCGGCAGGCCUAACACAUGCAAGUCGAGCGGAUGAAGGGAGCUUGCUCCUGGAUUCAGCGGCGGACGGGUGAGUAAUGCCUAGGAAUCUGCCUGGUAGUGGGGGAUAACGUCCGGAAACGGGCGCUAAUACCGCAUACGUCCUGAGGGAGAAAGUGGGGGAUCUACGGACCUCACGCUAUCAGAUGAGCCUAGGUCGGAUUAGCUAGUUGGUGGGGUAAAGGCCUACCAAGGCGACGAUCCGUAACUGGUCUGAGAGGAUGAUCAGUCACACUGGAACUGAGACACGGUCCAGACUCCUACGGGAGGCAGCAGUGGGGAAUAUUGGACAAUGGGCGAAAGCCUGAUCCAGCCAUGCCGCGUGUGUGAAGAAGGUCUUCGGAUUGUAAAGCACUUUAAGUUGGGAGGAAGGGCAGUAAGUUAAUACCUUGCUGUUUCGACGUUACCAACAGAAUAAGCACCGGCUAACUUCGUG